Molecule: non-coding RNA, 528 nt
Organism: Acomys russatus (golden spiny mouse)
Lineage: Eukaryota; Metazoa; Chordata; Mammalia; Rodentia; Muridae
Source: the annotation of a RefSeq genome assembly
AUGGGGAGAAAUGUGGGAGUUGCAUUCUGGAUUCUGUGCCUGCAGAUUUGCUGGGUGAGAGGAGCUCAGGUGGAGCAGAGUCCUUCAGCCCUGAGUCUCCACGAGGGAAGCAGUUGUGCUCUGAGAUGCAAUUUUUCUACCACCAUGGCGAGUGUGCAGUGGUUCCAGCAGAAUCCCAGGGGCAGCCUCAUCAGUCUGUUCUACCUGGCUUCAGGAACAAAAGAGAGUGGAAGGUUAAAGUCAACGUUCAAUUCUAAGGAGCGCUACAGCACCCUGCACAUCGCAGCCGCCCAGCUGGGGGACUCAGGCACCUACCUCUGUGCUGCCGAGGCACAGUGCUUCAAGCAAGCCUGUGGCCUGGCCACAAACUGCAGCUGGUGUUCAGCCCCAGCCGCUGACACAGGCAGACUCUGCAGAAGCCUUCCCACAGCUGUGCAUUUACCAGAUCUCCACCAGUUACACAGAAUACAUGAAAAAAACGUAAAAAUACUACUGCGAAAGUCCACACUUAAAUUAAAACUGACAUGA